AGAGUUUGAUCCUGGCUCAGAACGAACGCUGGCGGCAGGCCUAACACAUGCAAGUCGAGCGCGCUUUCGGGUGAGCGGCGGACGGGUUAGUAACGCGUGGGAACGUGCCCUUCUCUACGGAAUAGCCUCUGGAAACGGAGAGUAAUACCGUAUACGCCCUUUGGGGGAAAGAUUUAUCGGAGAAGGAUCGGCCCGCGUUAGAUUAGGUAGUUGGUGGGGUAACGGCCUACCAAGCCUACGAUCUAUAGCUGGUUUUAGAGGAUGAUCAGCAACACUGGGACUGAGACACGGCCCAGACUCCUACAGGAGGCAGCAGUGGGGAAUCUUAGACAAUGGGGGCAACCCUGAUCUAGCCAUGCCGCGUGAGUGAUGAAGGCCUUAGGGUCGUAAAGCUCUUUCGCCUGUGAUGAUAAUGACAGUAGCAGGUAAAGAAACCCCGGCUAACUCCGUGCCAGCAGCCGCGGUAAUACGGAGGGGGUUAGCGUUGUUCGGAAUUACUGGGCGUAAAGCGCGCGUAGGCGGAUUAGAAAGUUGGGGGUGAAAUCCCGGGGCUCAACCCCGGAACUGCCUCCAAAACUGCUAGUCUAGAGUUCGAGAGAGGUGAGUGGAAUUCCGAGUGUAGAGGUGAAAUUCGUAGAUAUUCGGAGGAACACCAGUGGCGAAGGCGGCUCACUGGCUCGAUACUGACGCUGAGGUGCGAAAGUGUGGGGAGCAAACAGGAUUAGAUACCCUGGUAGUCCACACCGUAAACGAUGAAUGCCAGUCGUCGGGUAGUAUACUAUUCGGUGACACACCUAACGGAUUAAGCAUUCCGCCUGGGGAGUACGGUCGCAAGAUUAAAACUCAAAGGAAUUGACGG
RNAcentral lists this ribosomal RNA (859 nucleotides) under uncultured marine bacterium. RNAcentral describes it as "bacterial SSU rRNA". It matches the Rfam family "Bacterial small subunit ribosomal RNA", at positions 8 to 916 of the family's 1533-position model. The record is from RNAcentral.